ACCCGACUGCUAUCGGAUUGAGAUUAGCCAUGCGAGUCGAACGUCCCCUGUGCGGGGGGCGUGGCGUACGGCUCAGUAACACGUAGUCAACCUGCCCUGGAGACAAGGACAACCCCGGGAAACUGGGAUUAAUCCUUGAUAGGUCAUCUCAUCUGGAAGGAGAGAUGGCUUAAAGGGGUACGCGGGCUUCUUCCGCGAAUUCGCUCCAGGAUGGGACUGCGUCCGAUCAGGCUGUUGGCGGGGUAAUGGCCCACCAAACCUGUAACCGAUACGGGCCUUGAGAGAGGUGGCCCGGAGAUGGACACUGAGAGAAGGGUCCAGGUCCUACGGGGCGCAGCAGGCGCGAAACCUUCGCAAUGCGCGAAAGCGUGACGAGGUUAAUCCGAGUGACUUCCGCUGAGGAGGUCUUUUGUCAGCUGUAAAUAGGCAGGCGAAUAAGGGGAGGGCAAGCCUGGUGUCAGCCGCCGCGGUAAUACCAGCUCCUCGAGUGGUCGGGGCGAUUAUUGGGCCUAAAGCAUCCGUAGCCGGUUCCGUAGGUCCUCUGUUAAAUCCAACCGCUUAACGGUUGACCUGCAGAGGAUACCGCGGGACUAGGAGGCGGGAGAGGCGGACGGUACUCCGCGUGUAGGGGUAAAAUCCUUUGAUCCGCGGAAGACCACCAGUGGCGAAGGCGGUCCGCCAGAACGCGCUCGACGGUGAGGGAUGAAAGCUGGGGGAGCGAACCGGAUUAGAUACCCGGGUAGUCCCAGCCGUAAACGAUGCUAGCUAGAUAAUUCAUUCGCAAGUCGCGAAUGAAGUGUCGCAGGGAAGCCGUUAAGCUAGCCGCCUGGGGAGUACGGUCGCAAGACUGAAACUUAA
RNAcentral lists this ribosomal RNA (858 nucleotides) under uncultured soil archaeon. Its description in RNAcentral is "bacterial SSU rRNA". It matches the Rfam family "Archaeal small subunit ribosomal RNA", at positions 21 to 859 of the family's 1478-position model. The record is from RNAcentral.